Non-coding RNA from Camelina sativa (false flax), 109 nucleotides. The record is from RefSeq and is a predicted model, not a curated record. Lineage: Eukaryota; Viridiplantae; Streptophyta; Magnoliopsida; Brassicales; Brassicaceae.
AUAUCAUCUCCUUGGUUCUUUUCGCUCUCGUGGUGAUCGUCUCUGCUGAAGUUAUCUUCGAGGAAAAAUUCGAUGAUGGAUGGGAGAAGAGAUGGGUAAAAUCCGACUG